This 256-nucleotide ribosomal RNA is filed under the name Clostridioides difficile. RNAcentral describes it as "partial 23S ribosomal RNA". It matches the Rfam family "Bacterial large subunit ribosomal RNA", at positions 1353 to 1604 of the family's 2925-position model. The record is from RNAcentral. Lineage: Bacteria; Bacillati; Bacillota; Clostridia; Peptostreptococcales; Peptostreptococcaceae.
UCCAGGGGAAGGUUCGUCCGCCCUGGGUUAGUCGGGACCUAAGCUGAGGCCGAAAGGCGUAGGUGAUGGCCAACAGGUUGAUAUUCCUGUACUACCGAUAACCGUUUGAGAGAAGGGAUGACACAGUAGGAUAAGCUAAGCACCCUGUUGGUUAUGUGUGCCCAAGCAUUGAGGCAGUCAAAGUAGGCAAAUCCGCUUUGAUAAUGCUGGGAUGUGAUGGGGAGCGAAAUUUAGUAGCGAAGUAGCUGAUUUCACA